CCCGCCCCUCCCUCUCUCUUUUGCGUGGUUGACUACAACUCCCAGGAGGAGGUAGUGCCCAGCCAACCCUUGACUGUCCUGUCCAUAGAACUCCUGAUCUGGGGGCAAAUAAAAGAAUAAGAAUGAGCCCUCUGUGUAUCUUCACACCUCGCAUCCUUCAUCCCCGGGGCUCCCACACAGCAGCGGGCACCUUUGUGCCACCUUGUCCUCCCCUGGACCAGGAGAAAGUCAAGGAGUUACAGCGAUUCAUCUCCCUUUCCAAGAGACUCCUGGUGAUGACUGGAGCUGGGAUCUCCACCGAGUCAGGCAUCCCAGAUUACAGAUCAGAGAAGGUGGGGCUCUAUGCCCGAACGGACCGGCGCCCUAUCCAACAUGUGGAUUUUGUCCGGAGCGCUAAAAUCCGCCAGCGCUACUGGGCAAGAAAUUUUGUUGGGUGGCCUCAGUUCUCCUCUCACCAGCCGAAUGCUGCACAUUUGGCCCUGAGCAGCUGGGAGAGACUCAGGAAACUCUAUUGGUUGGUCACCCAAAAUGUGGAUGCUUUGCACACCAAGGCGGGGAGCCAGCGUCUGACCGAACUCCACGGAUGCAUGCAUAGGGUUCUCUGUUUACACUGUGGGGAACAGACUCCCCGAGGGGUGCUGCAGGACCGAUUCAAAGCCCUGAACCCCACCUGGGGAGCCGAGGCCCAUGGCGUGGCCCCUGACGGCGACGUCUUCCUGACAGAGGACCAGGUACGAAGCUUCCACGUCCCAUCCUGUGCCAAGUGUGGGGGCCCUCUGAAGCCAGAUGUUGUUUUCUUUGGGGACACAGUGAACCACGAUAAGGUGGACUUCGUGCACACACGUGUGAAAGAAGCCGACGCCCUUCUGGUGGUAGGAUCUUCCUUGCAGGUGUACUCUGGCUACAAAUUUAUUCUCGCAGCACACGAGAAGAAACUUCCCAUUGCAAUACUGAACAUUGGGCCCACAAGGUCAGACCAACUGGCCUGCCUGAAGUUGGAAUUCCGAUGCGCUGAGCUCCUACCCUUAAUAGUUCCCCAGUGACCAGGGCCUAGGGCUCCCAACCCCCAAGGAGGACCCUUACUGGACCAGAGCUGCUAAAGGAUCCCUGCUGGUGUGUCCUUGCCACCAUGCUCUGGCAGAUGUUGUCACUCUCUCUCAACCAGCAGAGGGCAGCACAUGCCCACAUCUCAGCAUCCCGGUUCAGAUCCUGGGAGUUUGAUAUGGGAUUGUGCUGUAUUCUCUUUCAGAGACUUGGAAACUCGGGAGAUUGGAUCCCAAAGGUGUUGUCCCUGGAGAUUUGGGUAGCCAUCUUGCUGUCCUUUGAGGAAAGGGGAGGAUACAACACUAAUUCAGUUUCGUAACCUCAAAUAGCUAAAGUUAUCUUUGAACUGAGCCAUUUCAAUCAAUAAACAUUUUAAAAGAUAUCUUUAAGAAAGCAAAUGAAUAUAUUUCCUACAGGCAGGGCAAGUACUGAUUGAAAUGAAUUUUUAUUCAACGAGGAAUAAUGGGAGACUCCCUUUCUCCAGCACACCAGGUGCAGGGUAUGGGGUUGUAUUCUAUUACAGUCAUUAACAAGAGGAGGGUUUGGGGCAGCUAGAUGGCGCAGUGGAUAGAGCACCGGCCCUGGAGUCAGGCGUACCUGAGUUCAAAUCUGGCCUCAGACACUUAAUACUUAACU
Dromiciops gliroides (monito del monte) is the source of this 1680-nucleotide RNA transcript. It is a transcript of the gene named sirtuin 4, with no coding region annotated. The transcript has 5 exons. The record is from RefSeq and is a predicted model, not a curated record. Lineage: Eukaryota; Metazoa; Chordata; Mammalia; Microbiotheria; Microbiotheriidae.